AUUGUCGCAUUGCUGUUCCGAUGGGCGAGCAGGUGUCGAGAUUCAGUUACCCAGGAAAUCAUACAGCACAAAACUAGUUGCCGAGGAUGAUGAAAAAGAAAAUAAGAAGUCGGUCAAACUUGAAGAUGGGUGCUUUCUGAAGCCACAUAUUUUUACCCUUACAAUACCAGAGAUUGAUGGGGGAACAUAUAUCUCAGUCACUAUUAGAU
Molecule: unclassified non-coding RNA, 209 nt
Filed under: Hevea brasiliensis (rubber tree)
Lineage: Eukaryota; Viridiplantae; Streptophyta; Magnoliopsida; Malpighiales; Euphorbiaceae
Source: RNAcentral